CAGUAGCCGCGGGAAUACGAAGGGGGCUAGCGUUGUUCGGAAUUACUGGGCGUAAAGCGCACGCAGGCGGCUCGAUAAAUUAGAAGUGAAAGCCUUGGGCUUAACCUGAGAAUUGCUUUUAAGACUGUCGAGCUAGAAUCCAGAAGAGGGUAGUGGAAUUCCGAGUGUAGAGGUGAAAUCCGUAGAUAUUCGGAAGAACACCAGUGGCGAAGGCGACUACCUGGUCUGGCAUUGACGCUCAUGUGCGAAAGCGUGGGGAGCAAACAGGAUUAGAUACCCCUGUAGUCCCUGUCUCUUAUAC
RNAcentral lists this ribosomal RNA (301 nucleotides) under uncultured bacterium. RNAcentral describes it as "partial 16S ribosomal RNA". It matches the Rfam family "Bacterial small subunit ribosomal RNA", at positions 509 to 807 of the family's 1533-position model. The record is from RNAcentral.